Molecule: ribosomal RNA, 478 nt
Filed under: uncultured bacterium
Lineage: Bacteria
Description: partial 16S ribosomal RNA
Rfam family: Bacterial small subunit ribosomal RNA
Source: RNAcentral
GACGAACGCUGGCGGCGUGCUUAACACAUGCAAGUCGAACGGUAAGGCCCUUCGGGGUACACGAGUGGCGAACGGGUGAGUAACACGUGGGUGAUCUGCCCUGCACUUCGGGAUAAGCCUGGGAAACUGGGUCUAAUACCGGAUAGGACUCCGGACUGCAUGGUCUGGGGUGGAAAGCUUUUGCGGUGUGGGAUGGGCCCGCGGCCUAUCAGCUUGUUGGUGGGGUGAUGGCCUACCAAGGCGACGACGGGUAGCCGGCCUGAGAGGGUGACCGGCCACACGGGGACUGAGAUACGGCCCAGACUCCUACGGGAGGCAGCAGUGGGGAAUAUUGCACAAUGGGCGCAAGCCUGAUGCAGCGUCGCCGCGUGAGGGAUGACGGCCUUCGGGUUGUAAACCUCUUUCAGCUAUGACGAAGCGCAAGUGACGGUAGUAGCAGAAGAAGGACCGGCCAACUACGUGCCAGCAGCCGCCGUAA